GAGGACUUGAGAUGGAGAGGGAUUGGAGGCUUGGUACUUGGAAAAACCUAUGAAACUGUUUACGCCAUUUUAUACAUUUCACUAUCACAAGGAAACGGAGGAGGAGGGAAGAGGGGAGGGUACCUGAGCGCAUCAGGCUGGAAUCAAAGGAUGCCUGGUCAGCACUGAACUCCCCAGACAUGAGCACACAACAUGAUCAGAAUUAGAAUGGGUGGAUGCUUUGUCAGCACUGGCUGGGAUCUCCAGACAUGAGCAAAGGAUGGAGGAGAGGACGAAGUGGAUGGAUAUCAAGUCAGAGCGGGGGUCCCCAAGCAUGAGCAAACUAUUUAAGAGAGACUUCUGCUUCUGCUGCUGCCUCUGCUGGCUAUACACCAACAGAAUGCCAGUGAGAGCCUGCCUCACAGCUCCCGUAAGAGAGUGAAUCAGACAGAUCGAAUCCUCACCUCCCUGUCGGUUGUCUGCUUACUGAGAGAUAUAACUCCGGAUCCAGGUACAGGACAGGGAGCUGUCACACACUUUAGGCUUGGCUUCAGCAUCUCUCAGCUCAGGGGGACAGCAACGGAGGAUGCUGUUUUUUCAUCUGACUGUCUUGUAUCACUCGCUGAGGUUCUCCUGUUGGAAAACCAGGCCAGAUGGGAGCGAUUGUAGUUGAGGGAAGCUUCAUAGUGCCCUCUACAGGGCAUUGAGGGGAAGUCACUCUGUCUGAGGAGUCCACAUCUGACCACAAUCUACUCGGGCCAAGUCCCAUAUGACACCCUAUUCCCUAUUUAGUGCACUACUUUCGACCAGGGUCCUUUGGGCUCUGGUCAAAAGUAGUGUAUUAUAUAGGAAAUAUAUAGGAAAUAGGGGACCAUUUGGGAUGCAGAGUCUGUCUGAGGAGUCCACAUCUGACCAGAAUCCUUCAUGACCCCACGCUUUUGUGCCCAAAGGGACUUUUUUUUUUUACAGCAUCACCAUUACAACGCAAUGAAGGAGGUCGACAGAGGUACACAGCUCAUAGGUUUUACUAGUACCAAAGAGACUUCUUCGCUAACUAUGACACUCGAACUACUACACCCGGAGGAGGCAAGACGUUACUACGGCGACAGACAAAACAAACAAACAAUUGCCUGUUAUUAAACCCUUGAAUGCUUGGUUUCUAUGAUCUCUACAUUCCAGUAUAGGGAACAGAUGACCCUUUCUUUUGAAUGUGUUUUCAUUUCUCGUCCACCUGUUGUGAUGAUAUGAUGUCUCCAGAAUGCAACAUGUACAUUGUGGACAUGGGAAUGCACGCACAAUAAUAAUAAUCGAAUAGAAACCCAUAUCUUCUCAAUACUUUUCCCACCACCGUGUCCAGAAGAGGGUCCACUAGACAUUACUCGACGAGUAGGAUCGCGAGAGGUGGAGGAGCUACCAGUGGUGCCCCACCAUUGAGAGUGUGAGAUCUACACAGAAGAGAGAACCAAAACGGAGCGCAAGUAAGCGUGGCCACGGCUGUUUUUGUUGUUUGUUUGUUAGCCAUCACAAAGCCAUCAGUUGUCGAUCCCAGAGCACUUUGGGACUUUGCUGUUGUUUCCUUUCUUUUUUAUGAUCUAUUUGUUGAUUUAUUUUCAUCUUGUUUAGUUUCUUAUCAUUUCUGCCUGGUAUUUUUUGGGAAAAGAAGAGCCUUAUUCGGUCCAUAUUUUUUUUAACUUGUAUACCUCAUAUGUUUUGAAAUGUCCAUAUCAUACCUUUCUUAAUUUUUUUUUUUUUGCACAAAUGUAUACUACUGUAUGUAUAUACAUCUAGCUAGAACACUGAAAAUGUAAAUGAUUCAUUUGUGUAUUUAUUCAUUUAUAUUUGUGACUUCUGUAUUUUUUUGUUUCAUGUUUUUCUUUGGUAAAUCUAUUUAUAUUUGAAUGGUCUAUGGUUUUCUUAUGAAUUAUCUCGUGUUUGAAUAAUUUGCUGGUUGAUUUUUAAAAGCAAUAGCAUGCAGAAAACGUUAUACAGCACAAUGGUGUUAAUGUUGUUUAAAUUCGUGCUUGGGGAUAUCUGAGACAUGUUGAAUAACAUCAGUAAAUGUGUCUGAGAGAGUUGCAUAACCACACAUACACACCUAAAUCUCGGCAUUUACGCUAACACGCACACACACACACACACACACACACACACACACACACACACACACACACACACACACACACACACACACACACACACACACACACACACACACACACACACACACACACACACAGGAUUGGUUGGAAGCAAUCAUCAUUUAAAAUGUUCUAUGCAAUGAUUCAUUUUGAAACUGGAAAAAAGACUCCAAAAAAGUUUAAUAUCAUGAUGACCAAUGUUACUCACACGACUCCCAACAUCAUUGUGAACUGAAAAACGUCAGAAAACGGUUAUGAACAUGUUUGUACUUGUAUGUAUGGAUCUUAAUAUUGAACUAUUGAAUCUAGACUUGUUUUUAUUUUUGUGGCAUGUUUAAUAGUACCCCAUCACUCCCCAUACGGGGGACUUGUUGCCAAAGGGUUAACUGUAUAGACUGUCAGUCAUGAAUGUCCAACAUCUUGUUGCUAGAAGCAUGGGUUUGCUUGGCUUCGUCCGGCUGUUUGUAUGACCUCAUUAAGUCUUGGUGUGUGUGUGGCUUGACCAGGUUUCCACUGUGCCGUGGCGUGUUCGGCUUACAGUGACUGUCCAAUCCGUGCUGCUAUACAAACCUGUGAUGCAGUUGGUCAAGAAAUUCUCCAUGUAAAAUGUAAUUGUGCGUAUUACGGUCGGUGUAUAAUCUGAAGGGUGGGUGGGAG
Long non-coding RNA from Oncorhynchus nerka (sockeye salmon), 2774 nucleotides. RefSeq lists it as uncharacterized. The transcript has 3 exons. The record is from RefSeq and is a predicted model, not a curated record. Lineage: Eukaryota; Metazoa; Chordata; Actinopteri; Salmoniformes; Salmonidae.